RNAcentral lists this ribosomal RNA (495 nucleotides) under uncultured bacterium. RNAcentral describes it as "partial 16S ribosomal RNA". It matches the Rfam family "Bacterial small subunit ribosomal RNA", at positions 28 to 507 of the family's 1533-position model. The record is from RNAcentral.
GACGAACGCUGGCGGCGUGCCUAAUACAUGCAAGUAGAACGCUGAAGGAGGAGCUUGCUUCUCUGGAUGAGUUGCGAACGGGUGAGUAACGCGUAGGUAACCUGCCUGGUAGCGGGGGAUAACUAUUGGAAACGAUAGCUAAUACCGCAUAAUAGCAGUUGUUGCAUGAUAACUGUUUGAAAGGUGCAAUUGCACCACUACCAGAUGGACCUGCGUUGUAUUAGCUAGUUGGUGGGGUAAAGGCUCACCAAGGCGACGAUACAUAGCCGACCGGAGAGGGUGGUCGGCCAACCUGGGACUGAGACACGGCCCAUUGGCCUAGGGGAGGCAGCAGUAGGGAAUCUUGGGCAAUGGACGGAAGUCUGACCGAGCAACGCCGCGUGAGUGAAGAAGGUUGUCGGAUCGUAAAGCUCUGUUGUAAGAGAAGAACGAGUGUGAGAGUGGAAAGUUCACACUGUGACGGUAUCUUACCAGAAAGGGACGGCUAACUACGUG